GUGAGUCAUCGAAUCUUUGAACGCAACUUGCGCUCUCUGGUAUUCCGGAGAGCAUGCCUGUUUGAGUGUCAUGAAAUCUCAACCAUUAGGGUUUCUUAAUGGCUUGGAUUUGGGUGUUGCCAGUCUCUGGCUCGCCUUAAAGGAGUUAGCGAGUUUAACAAUGUCCUCUGACGUAAUAAGUUUCGUUGGAAAGGCUUGUGAAGUUUGCUUCUAAUCGUCUUCGGACAAUUACUUUGACUCUGGCCUCAAAUCAGGUAGGACUACCCGCUGAACUUAAGCAUAUCAAUAAGCGGAGGA
Molecule: unclassified non-coding RNA, 297 nt
Filed under: Apiotrichum sp.
Lineage: Eukaryota; Fungi; Basidiomycota; Tremellomycetes; Trichosporonales; Trichosporonaceae
Description: partial contains 5.8S ribosomal RNA, internal transcribed spacer 2, and large subunit ribosomal RNA
Rfam family: 5.8S ribosomal RNA (bases 1-71)
Source: RNAcentral